AGACCACUUUUCAAUACUCUCCAAAAUGCUGAAUUUAUGCACUGUAACUGAAAGUCUCAGCAUUACCAGCAACAAUAUUUGUACUCAUCCUCGCUAAAUUCAGAAAUAUUAUGGUAGAAAUAUAGUGUGCAUAUUCAAGACAAAUUAUAAUAUAUUUGUGAGUGAGUUAUUUCCUAAGACACAUAUUUUAUGCAGAGUUUCUGCAUAAAUUCACAUGGCAGAAUUCACGAACUUAACUAGUGGUGUAAUCUUUUUAAUACUGAUAUGCUUCAUUAUGAAUAAAUAGAAUUCACAGACAUUUUUCAUGACUAUUCCCUCGGGAAUGUUUUCUGAAGCAAAAUAUUACAAUGGAGGCUUAUAUUGUGUGCAUUUGCCUUGGUAAUUCUUUUGAUACAGUCACUAAUAGCAUGACUGUAAACUCAUUUUUCUGAGUAAUUAAAUCCAAGAAUUUGUAAGA
RNAcentral lists this long non-coding RNA (457 nucleotides) under Mus caroli (Ryukyu mouse). Its description in RNAcentral is "predicted gene 29235 (MGP_CAROLIEiJ_G0005435.1)". The record is from RNAcentral. Lineage: Eukaryota; Metazoa; Chordata; Mammalia; Rodentia; Muridae.